GCUGGGCACGGUGGCUCACGCCUGUAACCCAGCAGUUUAGGAGGCUGAGUGUGGACUUGAUGUGCCUGCAGGGCAUCCAGGACAUUGAGGUCCAGUGGGCGGUGGGACCUUCAGGUCUGAGACUGAGAAGAGAGGGCCAAGCUGAGAUACAGACCUAGGAGUUGGCAGCGUACAGAUGGCUGCUGCAGCCAUGGGGAUCCAUGAGACCAUCUGAGGGUGGGCACCCUGUGAGGUGCACAGGACUCCCAAUAACACCAACAUCAAGAGAUGACAGAGACAAGCAAAGCUACACAGGAGACAGAAGGAGCAUCCAGUGGAGGUGAAGGAGACUCAGAAGGCAUGGCAUCAUGCAGGCUGAGGGAAGAGGGCCGUGGCAAAUGCUGCAGAGAGGUCAGCUAAGGUGGUUGAAAUGGAAAUAACUCCAAGGAAGACUGUCAAAGACAGCCACGUGCUGAAGAUGACAGUCAGCUUGUAUCACUGAAUGACUAUGUAUUGUUAUGUAAGCAAGAUAUAAACAUCUACAUGGUU
This 528-nucleotide long non-coding RNA is filed under the name Homo sapiens (human). Its description in RNAcentral is "HSALNT0314968". The record is from RNAcentral. Lineage: Eukaryota; Metazoa; Chordata; Mammalia; Primates; Hominidae.